This 450-nucleotide ribosomal RNA is filed under the name uncultured bacterium. Its description in RNAcentral is "partial 16S ribosomal RNA". It matches the Rfam family "Bacterial small subunit ribosomal RNA", at positions 354 to 796 of the family's 1533-position model. The record is from RNAcentral.
GUGGGGAAUCUUCCGCAAUGGACGAAAGUCUGACGGAGCAACGCCGCGUGAGUGAAGAAGGUUUUCGGAUCGUAAAGCUCUUUCGUUAGGGACGAACGUGCUCUUUGUGAAUAAUGAGGAGUAAUGACGGUACCUAAAUAAGAAGCCACGGCUAACUACGUGCCAGCAGCCGCGGUAAUACGUAGGUGGCAAGCGUUGUCCGGAAUUAUUGGGCGUAAAGCGCGCGCAGGCGGGAUAUCAAGUCUGUCUUAAAAGUGCGAGGCUCAACCUCGUGAGGGGACAGGAAAUGGUAUUCUUGAGUGUCGGAGAGGAAAGUGGAAUUCCAAGUGUAGCGGUGAAAUGCGUAGAGAUUUGGAAGAACACCAGUGGCGAAGGCGACUUUCUGGACGAUGUCUGACGCUGAGGCGCGAAAGCUAGGGGAGCGAACGGGAUUAGAAACCCCAGUAGUCC